RNAcentral lists this non-coding RNA (45 nucleotides) under Schistosoma mansoni. The record is from RNAcentral. Lineage: Eukaryota; Metazoa; Platyhelminthes; Trematoda; Strigeidida; Schistosomatidae.
AUUCAACUGACGAGUCCCAAAUAGGACGAAACGUGCGUCCUGGAU